CGCACCUUGCGCUCCUUGGUAUUCCGAGGAGCAUGCCUGUUUGAGUGUCAUUAAAUUCUCAACCUCUCUAGUUUUUACAGACUAGUAGAUGGCUUGGAUUUGGGAGUAAAUUUUGCAGGCUUUCACAAGUCAGCUCUCCUUAAAUGUAUUAGCUGGUGUCUUCUAACCGGUCUAUUAGUGUGAUAAUUAUCUACGCUGUGGACUAUUAGAUAUUGGCGCUGCUUAUAAUCGUCUUAUGACAAUUUAUGACAUUUUUGACCUCAAAUCAGGUAGGACUACCCGCUGAACUUAA
This 292-nucleotide unclassified non-coding RNA is filed under the name Strophariaceae sp. RNAcentral's name for it is "partial contains 5.8S ribosomal RNA, internal transcribed spacer 2, and large subunit ribosomal RNA". The record is from RNAcentral. Lineage: Eukaryota; Fungi; Basidiomycota; Agaricomycetes; Agaricales; Strophariaceae.